AUAACAUUUGAAAUGUAAAUAAAUAAAAUAACCAAUAGAAAGAAAAAAGAAAAAAAAAGAGUUGCAUUGGUCAUAGUCUCUGUUCACAGCAGUAAAACUCUACCUAAGACACACAUACAUGAUAAUUGUAAAUAUUUAUGAAAUAUGAUAAGCUAUUUUUAUAGAUAUAUGACCUGAAAUUACUCCAUGUUCAUUAAGUCACUCUAAAUGACAGUGUGUGGUUUUGUUCAGUUAAGAACAUUCCUAACUGAAGCCAUGUGUGCAUGCAUAUAAAUCAGUUCAUUAGAGAUUAUUGACAGUUGAAUAUUAUGUCAUAGAGUAAACAAUGAACUUAUAAGCAACUGUGAUACUUAUACUUAUGAUGAUCAUUUCACUUGGUACCCAAGAACAAAUUAAAGAAAUUCUGAUAUUAUUCUAAGAUUUGUGACCAACUGAUGUAUUUAAUGUUUCUUAUAAGAUUAGGGGUUUCGAUAUUUCUCUGGCUCAAUUUGUAUAUAAAUUUCUGUUAGUUAUAAUAAAGUAUAUUCAAAAUAUUUGAAUUUAUAACUUCUUGUUGAAUGACAUUUUAAGGUUUAUGUUCCAUACAUCUUUGCAUAUGAAAGAAUUUAUUAAACACUUCCUGUUCAUUGAGAAAACUUGGUUAUAAAUGUUAGCCUUGUGAUGUUCCAUUCUACACGUGGACAUAUAGUUUAUUUAGUUACUCACAUAGACACAACAUUUAGAAGCAUCUCUCAUGAUGAAGUUUUUUCCUGACAAAGCACUACAUAAUUUCAACAAUUUCUAUAAAAAUAAAUCCCAGAGAAGAUAACUACAUAAAUAUGGGUCCUCCCCAAUGUACAAAGGUCCUCAGCUUUUUUGUGAUAUGAAUAUUAUUGUUGAAUUGUAUGAAGCUGCCGUAAACAUGUGUUAUGAAUAGCAAGAACAAAGUUUCAAAACUGCUCUUAGAAGAAAACGAGCACAGAAAUGAAAUGUUAGUGCACUGUUGGAAUGAAUGAGAGUAAAUGUGGACUAAAAGAUAAUUGAUCCCAAACAGCAUUGAUUUCCAGGUCUGCUACACUUUCUGUGCCAUUUUGCAAUAAUAUGGGCUGCCUGUACUUUUUAGUUUGCUUAGCUUCAGCAAGCUCUGUGAUUGGGAUAUUGGGUUAAUUUCAUUCUGCAAUUUAACUAUUAUUAGAAACAAAGAUGGACAAAUAAACUUUUACUGUAAAUUGGAGAUAAGUACAAUAGGGAUCACACUGGAGGCAGAACACUGAUAAGAUGCAUACACACAGAAGACAGAAGAUAAAACAGGUGGUAGGAGACUGACUCUGUUGUGUGUGUGUUUCUGUGUGUGUCUGUGUAUGUAUGGUGUGCGUGUAAGAUGUAUAUGUCCAUGUGUGUAUGUCUGUGUGUGUCUAUAAGUGUGCAUCUAUAUGAUGUGUGUAUGUAUGGUGUGUGUAUGUGUGUGUCCAUGUGUGUGUGUCUCUGUGUAUGAUGUGUAUGCUUAUGUGUGUGUACAUGCACGUGAGUGCGUGCAUGUGUGCAUUAAGCAUAUAGUCAUAUGCAUGGGGUGAUUAGAAGGAAACAUACACCAGUUCAGAGUUUGUGUCCUGUUUUCUGAAAUAAAAGGAAGCAUUGCCUAAUCAUUACUACUACGGACUGUUUUCCAGCCUAUGUGCAGUGUUACUAAGGAGCUGACUGCUGCCUUAGAGUAGACAUGUUCUUGCUUUCUUUGAAUCAAUAGAGCAUCUCUGAGUCAGUAGAGUAGAAAACAAGCAGAGGAGCCUUUUCCCUACAUGCUGGAAGUGGUUAUCACUGUUGUCAAGGAAACGCCCACACUUCACAAGGUCACCUCUGGAAUAAACAGCAAGAUGUCAAGAACAGAUCAAUAGACCAAAGCCAAGACCUCAGCCUCCUCCCACGCUCCUAUUUUAAAUAUCCUUCCUAACAAACACUUGCUUAGCUCAUUCUCUGUGUCCUGGAGUUGUCAAGUGAAGCUGAUGAUGCCUUAGGUCAAGCCCAGAAUUUUCCAUGCUCUGUUUCUUUGAAGCUUCUGGUGCUUAGUGAGGAUGCUCGGAGUGGAGUGUGGGAGUGUGGUUGUUAGCCUGAAGCUAGACUAAGGCCAGUUUACAAAGAUAAGCUCCACUUAGGACUGCAUUUGUAAGAGAUUUUAGAAUGGUCACCAGACCUUUCUUAAAGCAGUAACAUUUUAAUUUCAGAAAACGCUUUAUUAUAGACUAGAAAUGUGUGGAAUUUUAGUCAGUCUGUUUCAUUCAUCUGGAUGCUCAUUUGUUAACUUACCCACUUAUCCAUUCUUCAGUCGGAUGAUUAUAACUUUGUACUGUGUGCCCCAUGUCGAUUUGGGCAUGAGAGGUGACUAUAGUAUAUUUCCUACAUCUAAGAUCUAGAGACUCAGUCUGAAGAAAACAUGACUAUGGAAUCCAGUAAAGAAGUAACUCGUGGAGGGGAACACAGGGGGUUGCUUAACAUCUGAGCAACAGUUCUUCAUGGGUCAAGGAAGAAAUAGUUUGGGAAGAGAUAAAUGUUUGCAGGUGACCUUGGCAGUGGAUAUGCACUGAGUGCAGAAUGCAGUGCUGGAAAACAGGUUUUGACAGAGAUGGUAGCCAGGAGCAGAGAUGGGAGGAGCCAGAUGCUAUGGAAUCCUGUUAUCUGAAGCUCUGGACAUACUAGGGGGGGUUUAGAUAGAAGACUAGAAAAGAAAAUCAAAAUGCAUCCAUGAAUGUCUUUGUGCAAUAUUUUCAAAAGGUCACUGCUAGCUUUUCAGAUAUUCCAUCCAUAUACUAGUUAAUGACAUUAUUUAAUGCUAUAAUAAAUAACUGGGGCUUUAAGUAGCUUGAUAUGAGUCCUUCUAUUUCCUCUAACAAUCCAAAAUUGGUCACACUCCUGUGCUUGCAUAUGGUUUGAUGGAACUGGAAUUUCUGAGGCUGUUUAUCAUUUAAAACAAGCAUUGCAAAAUCCAGCAAUACACUCUCUUCUUUUUAAAAUUCGCAACGAUACCUGAUUUACUGGAAGACCAAUGCCGCGUUAUUAUGAUGGGGCUUAAGAUGGUUUCUGCUUUCAAAGUAGCUAGUGACACUAAAUUAUUGUAUCGUCACUUUGUGAAAUCGCAGACACCAUAUUUUGUUGUUAGAAAAUGACGAAUGCUGUGCCGACAGCUUUCCUGUUUAUUAAGCUACCCUGAGCCACACUGGAAUGCAUCUUGUUAACUUUCCCAAUAGAAAGAAUAAGGAUGAUGGUUUGUAUUUAAGAGAAUGUGGCGGUCGCAAACGUUAUAGAGCUAAAGGUUUUUGGCAUCAUCUAGGUUAGCCACCUGUUCUCUCCUCCAUUUGCUGAAUAAAUUAGAAGCUCCUGGGAGAGUGUGUGGAGCUGACUGGCCUGCCUCGUUGCCAAGGCAACCAUUUUUCUCUCUGCUCUAUGACUCUGAAAGGGUUCAUAACCCAUUAGUGCUCCUCUGGGUAAGAAUAUGAGACCAUUUCUUUUUUUUUUUUCUCCCUUCCUUCUUUACUCCUUUUCCUGGUCAAGAUAAUGUGAGCAGUAAAUGCUCUUACCAUAUAUGUAUAUUCCAAUGCUGCACUUCCCAAUUUCCUGGGGAAUUGGGGUGUAAAUCUUAAAGGCACAUGACAGCUAAGUGGAGAGAUGCAUAUAAUAAUGAAUAAAAAAAAUGAAAAAGCGAUUUCAACCUCAAAUGCUUUCCAAAUUGAAAAUAUUGGCAGGGCAGAGUUUAUUUAAAGCCCACAUAUGAAGAAACACAGACUGCCUGAGUCCAGCACAAGAGACACUUUCAUAAUGGCGUCUACCUGCCAUCAUCUGCUCAUGGCUUCCCUUAUUCUGUAGAGACAAUGUAACAAGGAAGGGCAAGUAGAGAUUCUUACUUAAAAAUAAGAUUAAUCAAAUCACAUAUCCAUUUUCUGGAUGGCAAAGGGCGAAGGAGUUGAAACAGGUGAUUUCCCACUCUGGUAACAGCCACAGAGCUCAUGUGUGCUGUGACUCCCAAACAGCACACAAAACCAAGAAUUUGAGGGGUUUUUUUCUUCUUUUUAUAAUGCGCAGUUGUUAUUCUUCCGUCUACCUUUUGUCUACUCCCUAUCUUUACUCCAAUAUGCAUUUAAACAUAAUUAGGGGGAUUUUUGAGUGAGUAAAUUUCCUUUACCAUAUUUCAGGAAUUUUGUAUGACCUCCCUUGCUCAUAUUAACUCCAUGAGACAAAUUCCUUUUCUCUUUCUUUAUAAUUAUGCGACCCCAUGCCAAGGGAUGUAGUGUUGUCCUUUACAGCAAUGUAGCCUCCCUUAGCCCUGAAGCAGGCUGAUCCAGACUUUGACCUUGCUGCCACUGAGAAGGAAAUUACCUAAGAUGGAGCCUUCCGACCUAGAUGGCUCUUUUGUUCUGCUACCUGCCACUGCUCUCUCCAAGACACUGCUACCCGAUGAGAAGCCCCUGAGACAUUCCAGAGGAACAUCCUAUUCUGCACACCACCUACAGGCUGGCUCCAGACACCAAGAAUGGACUGGCGGAGGAUGGACCUUCCCCUUUUAUAAGUAGACUCUCAUAGUAAAGUGGAGGACCUUGAACAGAAUCCUGUCUUGGCUCCAUUAACCUCUCGCAGUCUCAGUCUCUUUCAGCCCCAGCCUGCCUCCCUGGUGUAUCCGGUCCUUGUAAGCUGCAGGCCAGCUUGCAACAGAUUGGCGCCCGGGCCAGGGACCAUGGGAACGGCGGGAAAACACUGAGGGAAUCACUGUCUUGUAUGGAGCUCCAAGGGAAGGAAAGAAUCAGAUCCUAUCUGGCACGGUGAGCAACAGGAUUUGACAGCAAAAUAUGUGUUGGGACUAGAAACUGAAUCAGGUGGCUGUCCGCAGCUUUUAAAAGCUGUUUCAGGAGACAAUUCUACACGAGAUACGACUACAUGGAGUGUCUCCUACUCCCUCUGGACAUCAUGAAAAAGUCUUGUCUACAUACAGAACCCAUAAGCAGUCUAGACUCAUUUCCAAGGCAAGAGGGUUCAGAUGACCUCGACAGGAACCUAGCAUAACUGUCCUAUGAGAAGCUCCACCCAGCAGCCAAUGGGAGGAGAUGCAGUAACUCACAUUAGAUGGAGCUGGGAGAAAGAUUGAGGGACCCGAAGAGGACAGGGACUCUGCAGGAACAUCAACAAAUUCAACUAACCUGGACCCUUGGAGGCUCCCAGAGACUAAAUCACCAACCAAAGAACAAGCAUGGGCUGGACCUAGGAUCUCUGCACAGACGUAGCAGAUGAGCAGCUUGGUCUUCAUCCUGGUCUCCCAAGAGCUGGAGCAGGGGUUGUCCCUGAGCCUGCUGCCUUCUGACCUGCCUGUGGAACCUGUGCUCAUAAUGGAUCCCCUUGUCUGGCCUCAGUGGGAGAGGAUGUGCUUAUUACCACAGUGAUGUGAGGUGUAAAGUGUCAGAAACCAGACCUUGAAAAAGGCCACGAUGGAGUUGAAGAAGAUCUCUCUGGAGGAAGACAGCAGGACGUGUGCUAUGGAGAGGAAACUGGGAAAGAUGGAGAUGAGAAUUUGCCUAUAGGGGAAGAAGUAGAAGCAAUACCAAAGGGGAUGGUUUGAGGAGGGGUUGAAAGGCCAUAGAGAAAUGUAUUUUAUGUUAACAUAAAAAUUGCAUGCACUAUAUGUAAAGGUAUGUACCUACAUAUAUAAUUAGCUAAAUGAAGAUAUGCCACUUGAGGCAAUAGCCGUAGACCAUAUGGCAAAAUCUCCAGGACUUCCUUCAACUUGUUGGUUAAGGGAACCUAAGAGGCUCUGAAAAUAAUAUAGGUGAUUGCCAAAGCACUUGGUUAAAUCCCAGAACUUUUGGGUAAAGUCCUAUUGUAGAAAACACCAUGUAGUUCAGACACAGGAUUGGGUGGAGCCAAGCUAAGCUUGAACUGACCAGGAAUCCCCUCCUUGAGGUCUGCUCCUAUCGUGCAGGAAGAGUCUGUGAAAGCUGCGGGGAAGAUAAACAACUAAAAUCCUACCUAGCUGUGAAGUCUAAGAACCAAGCCAUGGCCAGCUCAGCAGAUAUUGCCAAGGCAAGCUAACAGUCAACUGUGACUCCAUUUUCUGGCAUUCAUAAGCUCUACACUCAGAAGCACAUAUCCCCUAAUAUACUGACAUAUACAAAUACAUAAAUUAAAACUAGUAAAAUAAUACCUGGAAAAGAAUUUAUGCCAUCAGUAUUAUAUCCCCUUUAUUAUGUCCUUGAGUGUGAGAUUAUUGGUUUCCAUAUAAGUUUUUCAUAACUCUUUGAUUACGCCUUCUUCCACCCCCUCAUUUUGCCAUAUGCUAAUACCUUCCAUGUUUGAAUCUUAGUUCUUCAAAUAUCCCCCAUAUCUAAUCCUAUUUUACCUCUGUUUCUGCACCUCCACUUUCAUAGUGAGUCGGUCUUCAAUUACAAGGAUUCCACAUAUACUACAAAGUUAAAUAUCUGAAGCAAAUUACUCAAGCUAGAAUCCACCUACAAGAGAGAACAUGCUGCAUUUAUCUUUCUGAGCCAUUGUGAUGUCAUCUAGCAUGAUACAGGCCAUCCAUUUCUAUGCAAAUUUUAUAAUAUCAUCUUUAGGAACCUGCUACAUUUGUCUUUCUGAGCCAGGAUGACCUCACUAAGUAUGAUCUUUCCAGGUCACCCAUUUCUCUGCAGAAUGUGUGAUAUUGUUUUUAUUUGUAGCUAAGUAAUAGUCCACUUUGUAUAUGUAAUAAAUGUCCAUUAUCCAUUUAUCAGCUGAGGGACAUCUGGGUUGUUUCCAUUUCAUAGCUACUGUGAAUACAGAAGCCAGUGCCCAGCUCAGGUCAUCUAUAACAGUGUUUCCCAAUCUAAGGCUCAGAGAAUCACAGAAGAGUGGGUGGGAAGAAGGGGAGAGACAGGGAAAGGAGAGGAGAACAGUAAAAUCCUGUCUCCUGCAUGUGCAUGGCAGACACACAAGUCAUGUGACCAUAGCUACAACUGACUGCACAGAAACAGAUAAGAUAAAGCCCAUUUAAAUUCUAGCAUGGAUAGGGAAGGAAUCCUGAGACCCCCAUCCCUAGAUCAAGAGCCAUUGGCAGUUGGUGGUGGACAGAGAGUCACUUUCUUUGGGCUAGGUAGUACAUGGCUCCGGUCUCAGUGCAUAACCCCACAUCUCUUUGCACAUAGGAAGCACUAAUUGGAUUCAGUGGGCUAUUAACAACAACAACAAAAUGAAAUAAGAGGGUUAUGGAAAGUUAAUGCAGGAGAAGAGAACUGGAUACAUUAUACUUACAUGAAAAAUUCAAGGAAUAAAUAAACUAUUAUAAAAAAUAAACUUGGAGGUAUUAGUUAAAGAUACUUAGGGAUGACUAAGCACUGUGUCAAUAUUGUACUAGAUUUAGCUCUGAUUUAGUUUCUUAUACAAAAAUUUAAAAUACAAAGUGAGUUCCAGGACAGUCAGGGCUAUACAGAGAAAACCUGUCUCAAAAAAAAAAUCCCUUUAUACUUCUGUUCUGUAUAUACUAGAUCGGUUUCAAGCAUUAAAAUAAAGAGAUUUACUACCACAAGCGUGAUGGGAAUAUUGGUUCUGCUCACAUAGCACACAGUGAAUCUCCUAGACUUCUCUCUGUUUAUAUCUUGGGACAGAGGGAACUUGUAAGUGUGAUAUAGGUUAAGAACUAUGAGAAGAGAGAUUUGGCUGCAGGAUCAGGUUGGACCCAAGUCUAAUCCCAUGAGUCCCUUAGAACUGAGAAACAUUCUUGGCUGUGUUCGGGAAAAUGUGACAGGUCAGAGAGCUGUGACCUUUCUGAGCAAGGAUGAAUGUGGGUGGCCUGUGGAGCAGGAAGCCAGGAUUUCAGAGAACUGAACACUGUUCUUAGGACCCUGCGGAUAUCGGCUUCAGUUUUGCUUGUUUGAACUGAGACUGCAAAAGUGUAAGGGAUCCAUCAGUACUCUCUACGGCAAGGAAUCUGUGAAAAUGUGACCCUACAACAAUAGCAGAAAUGAGCAAAAUCCACCCGAAAGGAAUUGUGUCUCCAGGUUUUUACGUUUUGUCCUUUGUUGUUGAGGUAAAAAAUGUUGAUCCUAGAGAGUCCAAUAAGGCAUGCAUGUCCCUGCUGAACGUUGUGAAGGAAUCUGGGUACAUUUUCAAUUAUUUCUUUCAAAUAUAGUUGCCAGAUCUCAUACCAUCUUAAACUGCGUUUCCUGCAUAGGCUAUGUACUCAAAUUGAAUUUUCUUCAUAGUUAGAGGACUUUUUAAACUUAAAUUUCCCUUUUUUUUUGAUUUUAUAAGCUCAACAUGUGUGUGUGUUUUAAAAAUAAUUAAAAUAGAAUGUUUUAUUUUAUUUAAAACCUUGAAUCAUUGUUGGUUCUAAGGUAUUUUUUUAAAUUAUUUUUGAUAACUGUAGAAUCUAGUACAAUAUAUUUUCAGUAUUAAGACACUUUAAUUGUAGCUUCUCACUUCCCCUGUGUCUGCUGUGGACUGACAUAUGUCUAGUUAAUACAGGUACAAUCAAAAUAUAAUCAUUUAGACUUUGUUUUACUGAUUUUUAAUGUGUUGAUAUUCCCAAUUUCUUGGGUUUCCAUGGUGUCCUUCCUUAUAGACGUUGUGGAAUUAACUUAUUUGCUUGUCUCUUAGAAUGGAACAUGAGGUGCCUCAUUUUAGGAUCUUUUAAAACAAAAAUGAGUAAGUUAGCACUCUGUGUUUAGCAGUAGGAGCAUUGGGAGCUGUGGUCUGCUCUCUACCAAAUGUUGUCUUCAUCUCUAACAUUUGAGUCGUAUUACGAUUAGCAUUUGAGUUAAAAUCAUUUGUGCCUUUCCUUUUCAUGCAUCAAGUAUUUAGAAAGAUGAGUAAAUAUUGGCCGCAAAUUUCAGGAAUUGCUUAAAUUCCCACAUUGUUUUGUUUUAUUUCCAAAUUGUCUUUUCUGUAGUCAAAGAACUGUUUUGUCUUUGUUAGUUGUAGUCAGCUGUUUUGAUAUGUUCUGUUCAUCAUAUUUGGGGCUAGUUCACUUCCUUUACCCGUCAUCAUUUGAGAAGAUAUUUUAGACAUUAUCUUUCAAGAUAUUAAAACUGUUAUCCUCUCCGUUUCCCUUCUCAGAUCUCAGUUUCGAUGUUGUCCAUCAAAUCAUCAGGAUGCACUCAUUGGUAUUCUUUCUGCCAUCUCUGCUUUGCAGGUUUUUAUUUUUUAUUUUUGCACUUUUAGUACAUAAUAACUUUAUCUGCUUCAUUAAACCCAAAUUCCAUUCUAAAGCACAGCCUUACAUGUUUCAUUUUAGAUAGCAUAGUUUCCAUCUCUUAAAGUUGGAUUUUUCCCCCCUAUUUUGUGUCUUUCAUUUGUCUUAAUUAGAUUUCUUCUUUAGUCCUUCAGGAAAUCACAAAAUCCUUACAUGCUUGCCCCACAACACUAAGGUCAGUAUCACUUCUGGCUCAGUUUCUAUUUACUGAAGUUUCUUCUUUCGGGGUCACAUUUCCCUCGCUCUUGUCAUACAUAGUCAUUUUUAUUGUAAACUGAGUAAUCUAAUUAUUAUGUUGUUGGAUCCAGUUUGUACUUGUGUUUUAAGGAGUGUUGGAUUCUGUCUUGGCAGAGAAUUAAGUUAUUCUGAGUAAAGAUAAUCCUUUUUAAGUUGGUUUAUAAUUGUUAUUACUCCAGAUCUACUUAGCCUUUUGAUUUAAGCAAGCUUUAAUACAGGGUUUGUGUAGUUCUAUGAUACAGUAGAUAUCUGUCAGUAAGUCAGUCAUCAAUCUGUCUGUCUUUCUGUCAGGAAAGCGCUGAGGGUAUACAGCAAAAGUAUCUGUCUGGACUACUAGGAGUGAAGCAUACCUCAGUCUGAUGAGAAACUUUUCAAUUAUUAGUCAUUCAUUUGGCCCUAGGUUUCAUUCUAUGCACAUAUAUCUUAGAAGUCAGUGAUAUAUUUUCAGGAAUCCGAUGUGUUGUUAGAGGUUCUUACCUUCAAAGAUCCAUUGCACUGAUUUGAUUUUCUAAGCCCCUUCUACUUUCUCAAGCUAUGGAGAUCUUGUGCCCUGGAGAUCAAGCGUAUGGAGAUGUACCAGGCAGAGGCAUGGGGCAACUCAGCUUUUUCCCUUUUCUUUUAUAAGCCACUGACCUGGACUAACUGUUAUUAGUAUCUAUACUUGUUUCCCCCAAACAUGGUUGUCUAAUUUCUUUUAUUAGUCAGAGGGAAAAAUGGUCUUCAAUGCCCCUUGUCCAGAACUAGUUCUUAGAGAAGGAACCGGUUCUUGAAUUUGUGGACAAAGGUAGUUUUUUUUUUUUUCCUUCUUGAGAAGAUACAUUUUGUCGGUCCUAUUUUUAAUUUAUUAAGCUAGAAUUUUCCUUCCCACAGCACAUUCAGGUAUAAUCUAUCCAUCCAUCCAUCCAUCCAUCCAUCCAUCCAUCCAUCCAUCCAUCUAUCUAUCUAUCUAUCUAUCUUGAUUGGUUUUUCAAGACAGGGUUUCUCUGUGUAGCCCUGGCUGUCCUGGAACUCACUUUGUAGACUAGGCUGGCCUUGAACUCAGAAAUCUGCCUGCCUCUGCCUCCCGAGUGCUGAGAUUAAAGGCAUGCACCACCAUGCCCGGCUACUCGAUAUAUCUUAUAUCUGCGGCUUUAGCUGCAUUUUUGGGUCUGCUUUCUUUCUUUUAAUUUUUUUCACAUGACAGCUGUUUAAAAUUUGAAGAGAGAAAGUAUAUUUUUUCCAGAAAUGGUGUUUUAAAUCCCCCAUAAUCUUGAGUACUCUCAGAUAUUAUUAGACUAGCAAUGCUUUUACUACAGUAUGUAGUUCGAGGGAAAAGGUAGUAUUCUGGCAAAAUCAUGCACAUACAAUUUACUUUGUAGUACCAAAUUCUUUAAUUAUUAUAUACUCAUAAAUAAACAGCCAUAGAGUAUACAGGUUUAAAACAACACAACUUUUACCCUUUAUCCUUCUAAGAAAUGUUUGGAUGUAGGAUAGCAGGGCUUAGAUUAAAGAGUCCUGAUAUAAGGACACCUGCUAUGGUCAUGGAUUUUUUUUUUCUUUUAUAAAUUUCUCAUUGCAGUCAUUUUGUGCAUGUGUGUGCAUGUGUCCCCGUGUUCCUGUGGUUGUCCAUGUGUGUCUGUGUGUGUUCGUGUGUGUGUGUCCGUGUCCGUGUCCGUGUCCAUGUGUGUCCGUCCGUGUGUGUGUGUGUGUGUGUGUGUGUGUGUGUGUGUGAGAGAGAGAGAGAGAGAGAGAGAGAGAGAGAGAGAGAGAGAGAGAGAGAGAGAGAGAGAGAGAGAAAUACUUUUGUGGAUGUCAGAAUACAACUUUGGGAGUUCUUGUAUUAUAUGGGUCAUAGGAAUUGAACUCAAGUCAUCCGACUUGGUGGCAAACACAUUUAUACAGUGAGCUAUAUUGCUGGCCCCUGUAGCUAUGUCAGACUUCUACUUAGAAUUCUUUGUCUCCAUGUUUUAGCACAGUGCAGUUGUCACUGGAACAAGUCCACUUGUCUCCGUAUCUCUGCAUUACUCCUCUCCACACCCAGUCAGUCAUCUGUUGAGCCUUUCACACACAGGCUUGGUUUAAUUUCCAUGAUAUUCUUUUUAACAUGCUCUUAGCUAGAUAGUAUAUAUAAUUUAAAAGUUAUCAAGAAAGAACUGUGCCUUCUGAAAAAAACUAAGGGUGGGUCUUCUUUUCUUUUCUUGUUGCCAUUAUUUUUUCAAUAACUAUUGUUUUGCUGAGAGUACUUUAUUAUAAUUUCCAGUGUGGUUGUUGGUAUAGAAAAAUGACUUGUAUUAUUUAUCUUUUUAAAUCUCAAAUAUUUAGUAAAAUAUUUCACAGAUAGCACAGAUGAAAUAAAUGCUUAUUAAAGAGAAAUGAGUUUUAUAACCUAGGAACUUAAAUUUUGGAGGUAACUUGUCUUUAUUUUUAUAAAUUCUUUUUUAAUUAUUCAUUUUUUUAAAUUUCAACAUAAAUCACGUAAUUUCCCCUUUCAUUUCUUCCUCUGAACCCUCCCAUCUGCCCCUCCCUGGUCCUUUCAAUUUCAUGGCCUCUGUUUUCAUAAAAAAAAAUAUAUAUAUAUGAAAGAGUCAAAAUAUUAUGUUUUUUAAAACUUGGUUUCAGCUUUUGCAUGUUAGACAGAGAAAAUAUACAUGUAAAUAUUCUUUACAUGUAAAGGCCAUAUGCCUCCUUUGAAUUUGAUAUUAGGCAAAAGUUAAUAAAUUAAGAAUUUCUUGGGAUGGGAGACAGGGCAAAGGAGGUGAGGAUCUGUCACAGGAAGUAAAACAUCCCUUAGGAGAGUGUGCCCUGAGCUGGCUAUCAUUUGUAGUCAGUGAGAACAAUUGUUUAACCUGGGAGCACUGUUUGUGCAAGGCUGGACUUGGACUGAUCUAUUCUCAAGUAAGAGCUGGAGGAGGACUGGAGCAGCAAAUUCCUCUGGGAGAACUGCAUCUCACCAGCCUGAGCCAUGUGAGAGGGCUUGCCUCUCUGCUUAUAGGUUAAAUGAGAUUACUGUUAAACAGGGGACUUGGAUAUCCUAAAUAUCAGAGUAUGCAUGUGUCUGUCCAGGAUAUCCUAAAUAUCAGAGUAUGCAUGUGUCUGUCCAGGAUAUCGUGAAUAUCAGACUGUGCAUGUGUCUGUCCAGGAUAUCCUAAAUAUCAGAGUGCACACAUGUCUGUCCUUCAUAAAUUUUUGAGAUAGUAUACAUGAGUGCUUGGCCAAGGUAAAGACAUUGAUUUGGUUUUUCUGUUCUCAAAGGAUUCUGAGCACCAACACGAAGGAAGGAAGUACUGUAGCCCUGUAAACACGGCAUAAAAUAACAAAUUUAUUGCUCAAUUUCUUGUAUAAUAGGCCAUAAAAACAUUUUUGUGUGCAUAUUUUGUUUACUUUAGAACUGUGUGCCACUGGGUGAAAAUGUACCCUCAUAGACUCAUAUAUUUAUGUUGCCAGUUGAUGAACUGUUUGAAGGUGUGUUCUUGGAGAAGAUAUGUCACUAGGAGUGGGCUCUGAGAUUUUACAACCCUACUUUGGGUUUAAACUCUCUUCUCUCCUCCUCCUCCUCCCCUCCCCUCUCCCCCUGCCCUCCCCGCCCUCCCCUGCCCCUCCCCCUUCCCCUCCCCUCCUCCCCCUCUUCUCCUCUUCCUCCCCCUCCCCUCCUCCUUCUCCUCCUCCUCCUUCUUCUUCUCCUCCUUCUUCCUCCCUCUCUCUCUCUCUCUCUCUCCCCCCCCCUCUCUCUCCCUCUCUCUCUCUCUCUCUCCCUGCUUCAUGUAGAUUAGGUUGUAAGGCUCUCAGCUUCUGCCUGUGUAACCUAUACCCCACACCAUGAUGGCCAUAGAGUAACACUCUGCAAAUGUAAGCAACUCCCACUUACAUGCUUUCUUUUUCUAUAAAUGUUUCGUGCUCAUGGUGACCCUUCAUAGCAAUAGAACACUGACUAAGGAAGAACAGUCUUCACUUGUAUUUAUGUGACAACUACCAAUAUCUGCUGCUCAGAGAAACUGUAGUGGAUUAUUUUAUGGUGAACAAACAAACAAACAACAAAAGUAAAACAAAAACCAUGUAAAGUAGUGGUUAGUUGGGUCAUAUGGAUUUGUUUGCCAAUGUUCCAUGUUUAGAAGUGCUGUAUACAUUCCCAGGCUUUUUUAUAGCACACAUAGUGAAGCUGUUCUGUCCAUACUGCUUUGUAACUAGUGUCCUUGAAUUAUUGACUCUUUUCACCUCUUUCUUGUUUCAAAGCUUCUCAUGUUUUUAGUUUUUAAUAUGUUUUCUUUCUGUAAUUGUUUCAAGGCUGAUCUAUAAUUUAACACUGAGCAAAUUUGCACAUUGUCACCACAAAGGUAAGUUAGGUAUUACAAAAUAACCAGUUCUCGUUGUUUAAAUGCUCAGCAAUGUUGUGUCUCCUUUCCAUUUAACUUGAGUAUCUAGGACUUUGAGCUGUGGUCGUUAGUGGAUGCCAUAUAUCAGUGUAUUUCAAUUAUAAAUGUGGAAUCAGUGCUGUAUUGCUUGCUGGCUAUGAUUGUUACUCUUCCUUGUCACCUUGACUGGAAUUAGAAUCACCAUGGAAAUAUGUCUCUGAGGGUGUUUCAGGAGAUGUUUAACAGACCUUCCCUGGGCUGAGGAGCCAGCCUUCAUAGACUAGCAUCCUGGUCUUAAGAAGUUGAGCUGAGAGCACUAUCAUUCAUCGCUGCCCGCCUCCUGACUGUGAAAGCAAUAUGACCAGCUACUUGACGUUGUUGCUGACUGAUAACACAUUCCUCACCAUUGUAGAUUACACACACGAGCAGAAACCCUAACCCAUCCCUCCUUUCCAGAGUUUCUGCUGUCACACGUUUUCUCACAACAAUCAGAAAAGAAAUUAUGUCAGUCCAUUCUGUAAAUUGUUAUUUUAGUCCAUUUUCUCCCAUUUGUUGAGAAGUUUGUGAAAUACUAGCUCCUACUGAUUUCCAUUUUGAAGAUAGGCCUAUAAUACAUGCUUAUUUUAAUCUGUAGCUACUUAAAUAUUGUGCCUAACAGUCAAUAAGAAAAUUAGGGGAAUUUCUUCUAGUUUAAAAAUUGAUAAUCAGGCUUACAGAAUUGUUGGUUAUAAAAUAUUCAUUAGGCUCUCAAGAACAGAAACAUUUUUUUCUUGUUUCUGGCUAUCGAGUCAUGAUUGCUAAUAUCUUUGAAAACUCUAAUGUCACAAACACAUUUCAUUUUAUCUUUGUCACAAUUUUACUUCCUAAGCAUGAGGUUAUAUUUUUUUAAAAAAAGAUUUAUUUAUUUGUUUGUUUGUUUAAUGUACAUACACAGUAGCUGUCUUCAGACACCCCAGAAGAGGCAUCAGAUCUCAUUAUGGAUGGUUGUGAGCCACCAUGCGGUUGCUGGGAUUUGAACCCAGGACCUUCAGAAGAGCACUCCGGUUCUUUUAUCUGCUGAGUCAUUUCUCCAGCCCACGCGAAGUUAGAUUUGGACACAAGUGCUCAACUUUAUCUACUCAUAAACGCCAGCUAGGCUCCUCCUACUCAGCCAUGUUUAAUAAACCCUCAUUUGUAUACAGUAAAAUAGAAAGCCUUUGCUCUUGACUCUUAGCGCUGAUCUGUACUCAUUCUGCUGCUCAUGACAGCUGUAACUUCAUAAUGGCUGUGACUUCAUUAACGGCUGUGACUUCAUAACGGCUGUGACUUCAUGAGGCGCUUACAUUCUCACACAGCUCUUUGUAGCUCUUAGGCUUGUCUGAGGACGCAGAUACACGAUGGGGAACAUGCAAGUCGGGAGGAAAAACAGGCCAUGUACAAGCAAAGAAGAAGAUGUUUCUACGAAUUGUGGAAACCCCACGAGAAACUGUUACAGGACACAUUCAGACAACGGCAUCUAGAAGAGACCAGCCUUCUUGCAGCUUUGAUUCUCUAUUGUCACAUAAGGGGAGAUGUGCACAGGCUUCAGGGCUAAGCACGUGCGUAUUUCUGGUGGGUCACCCAUUGUUCUGAAACCACAGAAGAGGAGGAGCUUGUAUCCCGUGAUGGAGAGCUUAGUGUUGGCUGGGAAAUGAUACCAAACUAGAAUGUGUAGGUAUUGAUUGGUAAUAAACGCUUAACUUUCAUUAAAUAUCUUAUUGUAGCAUCAUAUUUUUCUCCAUUAGUGAGUAAUGGGUUGGAUUACAUCAUUAUCUUUCCUUAAUAUUAAACCAUGGCACCUUUGCCAUGGUUUAAUAUUAAGGACUAAUGCUCCUUUUUGAUACAAUAUUCUUUUACUUCUGUCUUAUUAUCUAAAUUACCAUUUAUUUUUAGGAUGUAAUUAAAUCAUUUAUAUGUAGAGGUGGUGUUGAUCUAUCAAGGUUUUAUACCAUAUUUGUAUGUUGGAUAUUAGAACAACUUAUAGAAACUAUUUAAGGAAUCACUUUUCUUCCCAUACUUUGGAGCAGUUUAAUAACUUUGAUCAUUUAGCAAUGGUUUCUUUUUUAUUGAUCUGUUUAAUCUUUCUGAAUCACUUAUGUUGUUGGCUUGUCAUUUCUAUAUUCUCAUGUAUUAGAUAUAUUUAAAAGCUUACUUGUAUAACGUUCAUACUUUAUUUAUAUCCAUUUGAUUUAAAAAUUGUGAACUUUAACAUUCACCUAGGUAUAUACAUUCAAUAAUGAACUUUACCAUAAAAACACUUGCAAAGAAAACCGUCACACCCCUAAAUUAACCGAACGGCAAAUGUAUACAUCAAAACAAACCUGUUCAGAUAGAAGGGUUAUUUGGAAUGGACACCGUGCAGCUUUGUUUUGGAUUUGUUCCUCUCUCUAUAAUCUCUUUUUAAAAUUCUCCUUUCUUUAUUCUUGAAAAUGUUUGAAAGGAGGUUUGACUCUUACUGCUAUUUUUCCAACUUGUCUCUGGGAUUAUGUUUCUUUAAUACUGAUAUUUAUUUUACUUUUAUUGCUGGGCUGAUUUUUUUUCCUUUUGGAGGAAAUAGAUGGGCUAGUCUACGUGUGAUCGCUAGUCUUUAGAUAGAGCAAGGAAUGCACCUUCUACUGAAGGAAAAAGAGGAAUACAUUGUGAGCUCACAAUACACACCCUUAGGUUGCUUUACAAGUUUAACACUCACGUUUUUAAAUUCCUUUGAUUCCAUCGAGAUCCACUUGUCAUGGUACCCUGGUCUUGAUUUAUGGAUGCCAGAUGUUUCCACUCCAGCGGGAAUGCUAACAUUCUCCAUCCUUUGUGGCAUUAACCCUGUGACAUUAAAAUAUCAUCACUCACUGCCUUUGUUUCAACUUCCUUUCAAGGUAUUGAGUGUCCCUCGCUGUCACGUCAUUUGACAGUAGUGCCAAUUUUUAGAAUGGAUGACACAGGCUUGUGUACCAUGAUUGUUGGAGACUUCCUCAAUAAAGGUCCUCAAUACACAUUUAUCUUAAGGGCUGUGUCUAUAAGAGAGAGUGUUUCUUUUCCUUUACAACAAAAUACACUUAACUUGCUCUGGGAAUACAUUUGGGGUACACCAUUUUUGUUUGUUUGUUUUGUCGCUAGCUGUGUCUUUGUCUCUUUUGCUGAUGCUUUCAUAAUCUUUCUUUUCCUGACUGUGGUAGAGUUGUUAAAAGUUCUUUGACUUGUUCCCUCAUGUCCCUUGUGUGCCAUCAAUCCUUGAGGGACAUUAGAAGUGUCUGUUUCUGGGCUGAGUUUUUGCAGGGAAAGAUUCACUAGAGAAAUUAAAGCUUUGGUGAUUUUUACUCCUAUGCUGAGUCACUAUGUACUUCUGUGUCUUGAGGCUGAUUGUUAGCUGGGAAAUCAUUCAUCCAUUUUCUCAGUUCUAAGACCAAUAAUCAAAGUCUGUUCUGGAAAAAUUCUCACUGUUCUUAGAUCAAACUGAAUUUAAUCAUUGAACAAGUACCACUGUCAGCUGCCUUGUGUAUUUAAAAUGUGCCUGUCCUUGAGAUCUGGUGCAUUGUCUCACCAGAACUGUUGUUUUUUCUUCCAGUCCAAAAAUGUAUAUGUGUAUACAUGUAUGCACACACACACACACACACACACACACACACACACACGUAUAUGCUUUAUAUAUAAUGUGUAUAUACAUGUAUAGAUUUCUAUCCACAUGAAUACACACACAUGCUCACACACAUAUAUGUGUAUGUAUAAUAUUAUUAUUGUAACUAUUCCUUAGGGGAAGGUACUUUGUUUUUAUAGUUCAGUCAUUACCCUCCUCCUGGUCUGCCCUCCCACAGUUCUUCAUCCUAUUCCUCUUCCCCCUGUCUCCAAGAGGAUGCUCCCCUGUUCUGCCAGGCCUCCCUACUUCCUGGGACCUCAAGUCUCUCAAGUUUAGGCAAGUCUUCUCUGACUGAGGCCAGAACAGGCAGUCUUCUGUUGUGUAUGUAUUAGGGGUCUCAGGCCAGCUGGUAUGUGCUGCCUGGAUCGUGGCACAGUGCCUGAGAGAUUUCGGGUAUCCAGGAUAGUUGACACUGCUGGUCUUCCUAUUGGGUCUCCCUCCUCUUCAGUUUCUUCUAGCCUAUCCCUAAUUCAACCACAGGGAUUCCUGACUUCAGUCCAUUGGUUGAGUAUAAUUUUCUACAUCUUUCUCAGUCAGCUGCUUAUUGGGACUCUCAAAUGAUAGCCAUGCUAGGCUCUUGUCUAUAAGCACACCAUAGCAUCAGUAAUAGCGUCAGGCCUUGGAGCCUUAGGGAAGGGUAUUUGUUGUUUGGGUUCCAUAAAGAGUGAUGCAACUUACACCUACCAUGAAGACAGUCUUUAGUUAACUGUGUUACAAAUCAUUUUAAUAGUAUCUUUUCUAUUAUUUUUAACUACAAAAUAUUUUGUGACUAGAGCAAUACUUAAGAAAGAAUAAUGUAUUAAUAUCAAAAAAUUUGAACUUAAAAUUGAGUUCAGUUGGCAAAUUACUUCUUUGCUUUCUUUCCAUCAAUUAAUUUCAUAAGGAAUUAUAAACUCCUGAAUGCCACCAAUGCACUUUCUCUCUUUUAAUAUAAGUUCUAAGACUAGAGCCACCGAUGAAGAGUAAUUUAUUAGGUGAUUUUGUUGUUAGAAUUAUUUUUCAAUCUCCAAAGUUGGAAUUAUCUGACAAUAUGUAAAUGAAUUCUAUAUUCCUUGCAUCACACAUUUCUAAAUUGUAAGAUUGUGAACCUAGAAUCUGAUUCCAUGAAAAUGAAUACAGAUGUGUUUUAUUACUGUAAAGGUCUGUUUUAUGUUUGUGUUUGUCAGACAAAAUUGUGUUCUAAUCUUUACAUUUAGGCAGUACUAUUAUUUAACUAUAUAUUGCAGGUGUGGAAAAAUGAAGUUUAAAAAAAAAACCUUAAGCAAAUUGCCAGAUACAUAAUGAGACUAAAGUAGAAGCUAAACAAUCACCUUUUCAAUGGUUAGCAUAGAAUUGCCUGUCUAAAUUUAAAAGAGAACCAAAAUAUAGUCAACAAAUAAUUUAACCACCGAGUCUAUGCCACACACCCAGGUAGCCAGGAGAGAAGUAAGGGAGUAAAUAAGGCAUGAUUCUGAAAGGCUUGUAAUUAUCUGGUUGAAGUAAGAUGCAAUGAGGCUUUGCAAUUAUCUACAUCACUGUGUGCAGUGACAGACAAUAAUCGUUAUAAACAACAAAAACAAUAGUAAGAAGGCACACAGUAAGCCCAGGCGUAUGUUGUCAGGAUAGCAUCUUUAUGAUGUUGUAGAACAGGAUUUGGCUCAGUGUGGUAACUAAUAAAACCUUUCUAGAACAUCCCAGAGGAUUUGAUCUCCCUAGAAAGCGCAGCCUGUCUUGUGUCACAGUGUUUGCUGUGAGGAUCCUGAUGGCUGCUUGGCUCCGGUUCUUGACUAAGGCAUUUGGCAGGGAUCCCACUUGUCUUUGCAUUUAUUUGACCCCUGGAUGCCCUGCCUUCCCCAGUGACCUAGGUCAUUACCAGGAACAGAACCUGCUGCUCUCAUGCUGCUUUCCAGUACUGACUGAGCAAAUUCCUCAUCUAAAUUCUGCAGAGCUUGGCAGUAAGCUCCAGCAGGGACAUAUGUAGGCAGAGCAAAUGGAGGCUUAUGUAACUGCCCAAACAACUCAUGCCAGGUUCAACUCAGGCAGAAACACUCAUUUUGAUAUAAACAAGGUAUACGCGUCCCUUGGUUUAAGAUCAUACAUUUUAAUUUGGACUCAAUAUGCAAUAUAACAAAGCAUGCUACUUUUAAUAAUUGUACAGAGAUUCUGUACAAUAUAAAUUAUAAAACACUGAAUAAUCCAUGAGUUGAUUGUAUAAAAGUUAAAUGAAAAUAUAGGAAAUCUGAUUUGGGAUAUUUCUGGAUCUAGCACCGUUGGCAGACAUGAGGUAGAUUUUAAAACUGCGAAUCAGUCUGCUGUGUGUGGAAGUUUUAGGAUCACAGUUUCAGAACCCCGGAGGAUCCAAUUAACUCUUUUCUCCAGGCGCUUGGUUAAAAUUAGAUAUUGUCUUUCUUCUUUUUCCUCAUCCUUCCUACUUUCUGUCCAUUCCUCUGCCCUUGGUUCUAGUUGAAUAUAUCCACAGUGCACAGCAGUUAAAAGAAUCUCCAUUCCCCUGAUAAACUAAUUGGAGUUAAUGUCUUCAGACAGGGUUGACCUAUCUGUGAUCUGAAUAAAAAAA
Long non-coding RNA from Mus musculus (house mouse), 19943 nucleotides. RefSeq annotates it as predicted gene 2824. Lineage: Eukaryota; Metazoa; Chordata; Mammalia; Rodentia; Muridae. The transcript has 5 exons. The record is from RefSeq and is a predicted model, not a curated record.